Molecule: ribosomal RNA, 486 nt
Filed under: uncultured bacterium
Lineage: Bacteria
Description: bacterial SSU rRNA
Rfam family: Bacterial small subunit ribosomal RNA
Source: RNAcentral
AACGAACGCUGGCGGCACGCCUCAUACAUGCAAGUCGAGCGCGAAAACCACCUUCGGGUGAUGUAGAGCGGCGAACGGGUGAGUAACAGGUGGGUAAUCUGCCCUUUGGCGGGGGACGAACAAGCUGGAAACGGCUGCUAAUACCGCAUGUGAUUGUGGACUUAUGGUCUGCAAGGAAAGGCGCCUCAAAGCGCCACCAAAGGAUGAGCCCGCCCCCCAUUAGCUAGUUGGUGAGAUAACAGCUCACCAAGGCAUCGAUGGGUAGCCGAGCUGAGAGGUUGAUCGGCCACACUGGAACUGAGACACGGUCCAGACACCUACGGGUGGCAGCAGUAGGGAAUAUUGCGCAAUGGGCGAAAGCCUGACGCAGCGAUGCCGCGUGAGUGACGAAGGUCUUAGGAUUGUAAAGCUCUUUUCUGAGGGAAGAAUAGGUCUGGUAGGAAAUGACUGGAUUCUGACGGUACCUCAGGAAUAAGGAACGGCUAA